This 253-nucleotide ribosomal RNA is filed under the name uncultured microorganism. RNAcentral describes it as "partial 16S ribosomal RNA". It matches the Rfam family "Bacterial small subunit ribosomal RNA", at positions 524 to 776 of the family's 1533-position model. The record is from RNAcentral.
UACGUAGGGUGCGAGCGUUAAUCGGAUUUACUGGGCGUAAAGCGUGCGCAGGCGGCCCGUUAAGACAGGUGUGAAAUCCCUGGGCUCAACCUAGGAAUUGCGCUUGUGACUGGCGGGCUCGAGUACGGUAGAGGGGGGUGGAAUUCCUGGUGUAGCAGUGAAAUGCGUAGAGAUCAGGAGGAACACCGAUGGCGAAGGCAGCCCCCUGGGCCUGUACUGACGCUCAGGCACGAAAGCGUGGGGAGCAAACAGG